RNA transcript from Nelumbo nucifera (sacred lotus), 1357 nucleotides. RefSeq lists it as uncharacterized. The record is from RefSeq and is a predicted model, not a curated record. NCBI's taxonomy places the organism in Eukaryota, Viridiplantae, Streptophyta, Magnoliopsida, Proteales, Nelumbonaceae.
UGAAACCAACAAUUUUAACCAACCCCAAUUGUCCACAGCCCAAAAUCUCCACCUAUAAAUAAACAAAUUCGCGUCAAAUUUCUCGUUUACCCUUUAGACUCUGAGAUCUCGAAGGUGUUCCGCCGUUCUUAUGCCUUGUCAAAAUUAAGUUCUACUUCAUUUUUAGAUUUGAGGUGCAGUCCAAGUUUUACUAUUUUCUGGCUGUACACAUUUAGCAGUCAUAGAGGGUCGAGAAUCGUCUGGGAGAGGACUCCUCUUAUUUGAUUCAUCUUAUAAUGACCACGAUGGUUUUAGUUUGAUGGUAUCAUUUCAAAUGGAUAAGAUCGAUGGAGAGGUGCGACUUGUUCUUCUUUUUAUCAGUCUUCUGGUUUCUUGAUAACUCAAGAAAAAUGCCGGAAUCAAUUAAAGACACAAAUCAGGAUGAUGAAGAGGAAGAAGAAAAUGGUGAUAGUAAUUCUCUUCGGUUGUCACAAGCAUCGCUUCUCCCAGAGCUAAACCUGCUUAUGCUUCUUUAUGUUUCCUCUUUAGCGUGGGAUGAAUGUUUGGAUUCCAGUGAGAAAACUAAGAAGGGAAGUGUGAAAGACGAUGAAGCUAAACGUUCUCUAUCAAAGGCACAUACUCUAAGGCGAGAAACAAAUAACUGUACAUUUGUGACUCAAAGGAGGCCAAAGUUUCUGACAAAGAUAAGGGACUCAAGGCAUUGCAGAAGAAUGUGAAGAAAUAAACAACUAUAAGUGAUAAAGGAGAAAGAAGCCGAAGAUAAGAGAAAGUAUUGGAAAUUAUUAUCAAUUAUAGUGUUCUCAAGCACCUCACAAAAGCAUGAGGAUGAAAAGAAAAGCAGCAGUAGAGUGAUUCCUUGAACGACGCCCCAAGAACUUUCAUCAAAGUCAAUGUUGAUGGGGCAGUGGGCCCUCUAUGUUCUUGAAUUGGUAUUAUUGUUCGAACCCAUUUGAGUCAGUUGGUUUGUGGAAGGUCUGUUUGUGCUCCAAUAUCUAAUUUUGAGAUGGCUGAAGCAUUGGCUUUCAGAGAUGGUUUACAAUUGGCUCAAGAUUUAUCUCUCACACACAUUGUUCUUGAAGGGGAUGCAUAGAAGAUUACUAAUAUCUUGUUAGAUCGUUAGUCUGAGGUCCCAUUGCAGCUUCAUACAGUCAUAGCCGAUUGCAGGAGUCUUUUGCAAGGUUUUCAUCAAGCUCAUAUAUCCUUCAUCCCUCAUACAAGCAAUAAUUCUGCUCACACUUUGGCAAAAUUUGGUUGUACUUUGUCGAGGACCCAAACUUGGUCCAUCUCUCUAGAUUUUCUUUUGCCUGUACUAAGAGCUGAUUCAGUGCAAUGAAUGAUUUAGCCUACGGGCUUUUUA